AGUGAACGCUGGCGGUAGGCCUAACACAUGCAAGUCGAACGGCAGCACAGUAAGAUCUUGCUCUUACGGGUGGCGAGUGGCGGACGGGUGAGAAAUACAUCGGAAUCUUCUUUUUCGUGGGGGAUAACGUAGAGACACUUACGCUAAUACCGCAUAUGACCUACGGGUGAAAGCAGUAGAUCUUCGGGCCUUUCGCGAUUGAAUGAGCCGAUGUCGGAUUAGCUAGUUGGCGGGGUAAAGGCCCACCAAGGCGACGAUCCGUAGCUGGUCUGAGAGGAUGAUCAGCCACACUGGAACUGAGACACGGUCCAGACUCCUACGGGAGGCAGCAGUGGGGAAUAUUGGACAAUGGGCGCAAGCCUGAUCCAGCCAUACCGCGUGGGUGAAGAAGGCCUUCGGGUUGUAAAGCCCUUUUGUUGGGAAAGAAAAGCAGCAGGUUAAUACCCCGCUGUUCUGACGGUACCCAAAGAAUAAGCACCGGCUAACUUCGUG
RNAcentral lists this ribosomal RNA (492 nucleotides) under uncultured bacterium. RNAcentral describes it as "partial 16S ribosomal RNA". It matches the Rfam family "Bacterial small subunit ribosomal RNA", at positions 29 to 507 of the family's 1533-position model. The record is from RNAcentral.